This 460-nucleotide ribosomal RNA is filed under the name uncultured bacterium. RNAcentral's name for it is "partial 16S ribosomal RNA". It matches the Rfam family "Bacterial small subunit ribosomal RNA", at positions 338 to 795 of the family's 1533-position model. The record is from RNAcentral.
CCUACGGGGGGCAGCAGUGAGGAAUAGUGGUCAAUGGGCGUAAGCCUGAACCAGCCAAGUAGCGUGAGGGAUGAAGGUUCUAUGGAUUGUAAACCUCUUUUAUAAGGGAAUAAAGUGCGGGACGUGUACUGUUUUGCAUGUACCUUAUGAAUAAGGAUCGGCUAACUCCGUGCCAUCAGCCGCGGUAAUACGGAGGAUCCGAGCGUUAUCCGGAUUGAUUGGGUGUAAAGGGUGCGUAGGCGGCCUUGUAAGUCAGCGGUUAAAGUCUGUGGCUCAACCAGAUAAGUUCCGUUGAAACUGGGGGGCUUGAGUAUGUUUGCGGCAGGCGGAAUGAGUGGUGUAGCGGUGAAAUGCUUGGAUAUCACGCAGAACCCCGAUUGCGAAGGCAGCCUGCCAAGCCAUGACUGACGCUGAUGCUCGAAAGCGUGGGGAUCAAACAGGAUUAGAUACCCAAGUAGUC